UGCAGAAUCCCGUGAACCAUCGUUUUUGAACGCAAGUUGCGCCCAAAGCCAUUAGGCCGAGGGCACGUCUGCCUGGGCGUCACGC
RNAcentral lists this ribosomal RNA (85 nucleotides) under Viburnum acerifolium (mapleleaf viburnum). RNAcentral describes it as "partial 5.8S ribosomal RNA". It matches the Rfam family "5.8S ribosomal RNA", at positions 73 to 154 of the family's 154-position model. From Rfam's summary of the family: 5.8S ribosomal RNA (5.8S rRNA) is a component of the large subunit of the eukaryotic ribosome. It is transcribed by RNA polymerase I as part of the 45S precursor that also contains 18S and 28S rRNA. Lineage: Eukaryota; Viridiplantae; Streptophyta; Magnoliopsida; Dipsacales; Adoxaceae. The record is from RNAcentral.